GAUAAACAAAAUGUGGUAUAUCUGUAUAAUGGAAUAUUACUCAGCCAUAAAAAGGAAUGAAGUGCUGAUACAUGAUACAACAUGGAUAAUCUUCGAAAGCAUGAUAGUAACUGAAAGAAGCCGGAUAAAAAGGUUACAUAUUGUUUAAUUCCCUUUAUAUAAAAUAUUCAGGACAGGCCUCUGUUCUGAAUAUUUUAUAUUCUGUCUCCAUGGAGAAAGAAAGCAGAUUAAUCGUUACUAGGGGCAGGGAAAGAGGGAAUAAGUGACUGCCUAAUGAACACAGGAUUUUCUUUUCUGAUGAUGAAAAUUUCUUAGAACUAGAUAGAAGUUGUCUUAGUCUGUUUUGUGUUGCUAUAACAGAAUACCUGAGACUGGAUAAUUUAUAAAGAAAAGAGGUUAAUUUAGCUCAAGGACCUGCAGGCUUGGAAGUUCAAGGAUAUGGCCCUGGCCUCCCGUAAGUGCUUUUGUCCUGCAUUAUAGCAUGGCAGAGAAGGUCAAAAGGAAAGCAGACACAUGCCAAGAGGGACUAGACGAGGAAAAUCUUGCUUUUUAACAAUUCUUUCUUGAAGGAACUCAUCCAUUCCUAGAGAAUUAAUCUAGUCUCAUGAGAGCAAGAACUCAUUACUGCAAGAAGGAUACCAAGCAAUUUGUGAAGGAUUCACCCCCAUGAUCCAAACACCUCCCACUAGGCCCCACCUCCCCAAACCACCACACCGGGGAUCAAAUUUCAAAUUUGGUGGGGACAAAUACACUAUAUCCAAAACAUACCAGAAGUGAUGGUUGCACAUUAUGAAUGUGCUAAAUGCCACUGAAUUGUACACUUUAAAAUGGUUUAUGGUUAAUUUCAUGUUAUAUAAAUUUAACCUCAAUUAAAUGUACACACACACACACACACACACACACAGAGAGAGAGAGAGAGAGAGAGAGAGACAGAGGGGCGGGGGAGCAUGGUCAUCCUCAAGGUUUCUGUAACUUCUACUCUGCCAGUAAUUUCCCACUUGCUGGUAGAAUUAAAGGUCCAUCAUAUCAGGGACAUUAGUUAUUUUCCUACCCUGUAAGACAGGGGUUCUUAACCUUUAAGUUCACCUUCAAGGGGUCAAAAGACCCCUUGAAGUUAUACGUAAAAAUUUAAGUCUAUGGGCAUUUUUCUGGGAUGAGAGACCACACAGUGUUAAAAAUGGAAGUUUCAACACCAUGACACAGACAACAUCUUCCAAAGUAAGGAAGAAGUCUCCCAAAGGAGAUGCCCAAAAACUGGUUAAACAACUCUAAAUCCUUCAGGCACAUACAGAAGGUUGGAGGGUGAUGGGUGAGAAAGGUGAUUUUUAAGAAAGAAUAUUUGGAGAUGCCUAUUUGUGUGCUUUGAGGCACUGUUCCACAAGCAGGAAUGGAAAUUGCUUCGUUUUUCAUUUCAGAUUGAGAGGGACUCCUUAAGAGAACACUCACAGAGCUGAACUCCCCAGUCUGAAUCCUACCUGUAAGAUCUACAAGCAGAGCCGCGUGUCUCCCCCUGGACUUGAGGAGCUUUCUUUGAAGUCACAGGGCAGAAACUGUGCACGUGGAAGAGAGUCUCACCUGUCAUCCAGGAUGGAGUGCAGUGGCAUGGUCAUGACUCACUGC
Non-coding RNA from Macaca mulatta (Rhesus monkey), 1620 nucleotides. NCBI's taxonomy places the organism in Eukaryota, Metazoa, Chordata, Mammalia, Primates, Cercopithecidae. The record is from RefSeq and is a predicted model, not a curated record.